AAUCAGAACUCGACUCCGAAAAUCGGCCCCAUUAAUUGAGUUUCCAAGCAUGGACAGUUUUCCGAAAAACAGUAUCCUGUUCACUAUUUACGGAUCGCCUGUUUACCGAUUAGUUUUUGGGAAAGGAUGUAGGCACACAAGGAGGCACACAUUUCGGAAGCACACAUGGACAAACAUUUAUCACGGCGUGCUGGGGAUGAUGGGGAGGAGCAUACAACAAUGCAUGUCUAACGAGAGGUCCACGAGCCCGGUGGGCAUUCGACCGUGAGUACGCGCGGCGGAAGAGAGGAUGAUGUUUAUUGGCGUGGCAAGAUAAUGCCGGAUUAUGGUCUAGAUUUGGGAUUAGGAGCGAUAAUUUAGCGCUCGGAACGGAAUAACCACACAUUGCGGCGAGCGAGGUUUUGUAGUACGAUGGCCGGAUCGGUCUCGGUUUGUGUGUGUGUAUGUGUGUAUAGUUAAACUAUUUAACCCGACUCGGUACUUCGGAUAUGUCCUGUGGCAGUUGCGUGUCAUCGGAAAUGAUGGGACACACACGCCGGCCAGUGUGUGAUUCAAUGUUUCGAGCGAAAACCGCACCGAAAACGGGAACUCCUGGUUGGUGUACAUUGCGUGGUCGUCCGCUGGCUCGUCUCGGCUAAUGAGUAAUUAGGAUUAUACGAGGUACACACCGCCACCGAGGGUACCGCCGAGUUUGCCUGGGGUUGGGUUCGACAUGCAUGCCAGGAUAUUCGAAACCUUCCGUCACCAUUUUGGCUCAUGGGUGUUUGUGUGUGUGUGUGUGUGUGGAUGUGCUGUGCGAAUAAUAAUUGAACUCGCGACUAAUCAGAUUCACGGUGCGUUACGAUUGUGAUUAUACAGAGGGCUAGCGUUAUAAAAGCGAAAGGAAUUAGCAGACGAA
Molecule: long non-coding RNA, 898 nt
Organism: Anopheles merus
Lineage: Eukaryota; Metazoa; Arthropoda; Insecta; Diptera; Culicidae
Exons: 2
Source: RefSeq, a predicted model, not a curated record